GGAUGAUGCAAAUCAGAUCCACGUCCACCAGCCAUUUGAUUAGGAUCAGAAUGUUGAACUACAGAAGCAUCCACUUUAGAAGAUCUCUCUUUUACAGGAUGAUAUUUAGGGACUACGACCCUGUCAUGCUCUGAUAAAUCUUGUCUAUGUCCCUCAGUUCCGUCAUCUAUGCUAAGUUCCCUUUCUGCAUGCCUAGGUAAUGAAGCAUCACGAUGUUCCCUACUAUAAAAUCCAUCCACCCUGUCAAAGGAAUUACCAUAACCCUUUGGCUGUACUUUCAUAUCUAGUUCGGAAGAUGCGGCAACGACAACAUCAGCUUGAUAAUGGAGAGACUGUUUUGACUGCCACCUCCCUGAAGACACCUUUUCGAGAGCACUAGCAUGGGCAAGUUUUGAGACAGCGCUCGGCCCAUCCCAUGCAGAAUGUGAAUGUUCGUUAAGCCCAGAAGCCACCUCCUUCCUUGCUUGCCAAGCAUUUGGAUGAGCCCCAGAAAAAGCCAUCCCGCUGCCGCCUGAGUGGAGGGCAUCACCAACUCUCCCUGCAUAAUUCACCGCACCAGGAGUUGGGAACUGCGACAUCGGAGCGAACCUCCUCCCACUUGAUUCAUAUUCAGGCUUCAACUCUGAACGACUAGGCAGAACCCUAAUGCUCUCAUCGCUGAUGGUUCGCCGCGGAGGAGUUACACCACCGAGGGGCUUCCUUUCAUCCUCAUCAAAAUUCCGGCCAAUGUGUGCAGCAGGAGCAAGAAAUGGAGUUUUGUCAUCAAAAUGCCUGGUGGCCGGUGAUGAAUGAGGCCUAGACCGAUGGUCCGACCUGUUCAUUGGGUUCCCCCACGAUGAAGGGCGAUCGAAACUAGUCCGAUCUGAAGGUCUAACGGUUACCCCAGGAGCAGACGGGAGAGGGAGAUCAGUGGGGAUAGAGCCGCCGUGGAAGUCCUUGAGCGUCAUAGUAUUACCACUGACUUUCUUCUUCGACAUCGCUCCGAAUGGAACCCUAAUUUCUGCUGGAACUUUCAGGUAGAUGAAUUGACAGAGAUUUAAGUAGGAGAAGAAAAGAACGAGGAGGAAGAGAAAGCCCGCAAAUCGCUAGAGAUGAAUGGGUGUUAUUGCACUAAUUUUGCGUAUCUCUCUGUUGAUUCAACUCCGGGCGGGGCUUCUCUUUUCCUUCUCACUGCCCUCUCGCUCGCUCCCUCGCUCGCGGACCAAUCGAACGACACGAAAAGAAAGAAGGCGAU
Molecule: unclassified non-coding RNA, 1234 nt
Filed under: Hevea brasiliensis (rubber tree)
Lineage: Eukaryota; Viridiplantae; Streptophyta; Magnoliopsida; Malpighiales; Euphorbiaceae
Source: RNAcentral